This 1620-nucleotide ribosomal RNA is filed under the name Clostridioides difficile. RNAcentral's name for it is "bacterial LSU rRNA". It matches the Rfam family "Bacterial large subunit ribosomal RNA", at positions 563 to 2199 of the family's 2925-position model. The record is from RNAcentral. Lineage: Bacteria; Bacillati; Bacillota; Clostridia; Peptostreptococcales; Peptostreptococcaceae.
CUUACAAGCUGUGGAAGCACAUUUCUUGUGUGACCGCGUACUUUUUGUAGAACGGGCCAACGAGUUACGUUAAGUAGCAAGGUUAAGCACUUAAGGUGCGGAGCCGUAGCGAAAGCGAGUUUUAACUGAGCGUUCAGUUACUUGACGUAGACCCGAAACCGGGCGACCUACCCAUGAGCAGGAUGAAGCGAAAGUAAAAUUUCGUGGAGGUCCGAACCCACGAGCGUUGAAAAGCUCGGGGAUGACUUGUGGGUAGCGGUGAAAUUCCAAUCGAGCCCGGAGAUAGCUGGUUCUCCCCGAAAUAGCUUUAGGGCUAGCCUCAAGGUGAGAGAUACGGAGGUAGAGCACUGAAUGUCCUAGGGGGUAUUGCACCUACCGAAGACUAUCAAACUCCGAAUGCCGUCAUCUUAUACUUGGGAGUCAGACUGUGGGUGAUAAGAUUCAUAGUCGAAAGGGCAACAGCCCAGAUCGUCAGCUAAGGUCCCUAAAUGUAAGUUAAGUGGUAAAGGAUGUGGGAUUGCACAGACAACCAGGAUGUUGGCUUAGAAGCAGCCACUCAUUCAAAGAGUGCGUAAUAGCUCACUGGUCGAGUGAUCCUGCGCCGAAGAUUUCCGGGGCUAAAACUUACUACCGAAGCUACGGCAUCAGUAAUGAUGGGUAGGGGAGCUUCCCAUACGGGUUGAAGCAUGACCGUAAGGACAUGUGGACAGUAUGGGAGUGAGAAUGUUGGCAUGAGUAGCGAGAUGUGGGUGAGAAUCCCACAGGCCGUAAACCCAAGGUUUCCAGGGGAAGGUUCGUCCGCCCUGGGUUAGUCGGGACCUAAGCUGAGGCCGAAAGGCGUAGGUGAUGGACAACAGGUUGAUAUUCCUGUACUACCGAUAACCGUUUGAGAGAAGGGAUGACACAGUAGGAUAAGCUAAGCACACUGUUGGUUAUGUGUGCCCAAGCAUUGAGGCAGUCAAAGUAGGCAAAUCCGCUUUGAUAAUGCUGGGAUGUGAUGGGGAGCGAAAUUUAGUAGCGAAGUAGCUGAUUUCACACUGUCAAGAAAAGUCUCUAUCGAGGUUAAAGGUACCCGUACCGCAAACCGACACAGGUGGGUGAGGAGAGUAUCCUAAGGCCAGCGAGAGAACUGUUGUUAAGGAACUCGGCAAAAUGACCCCGUAACUUAGGGAUAAGGGGUGCCACCAUCAGGUGGCCGCAGAGAAUAGGCCCAAGCGACUGUUUACCAAAAACAUAGGUUUCUGCUAAGUCGCAAGACGAUGUAUAGGAGCUGACGCCUGCCCGGUGCUGGAAGGUUAAGGGGAUCUGUUAGAGCAAUCGAAGCAGUGAACUUAAGCCCCAGUAAACGGCGGCCGUAACUAUAACGGUCCUAAGGUAGCGAAAUUCCUUGUCGGGUAAGUUCCGACCCGCACGAAAGGCGUAACGAUUUGGGCACUGUCUCAACAACAGACUCGGUGAAAUUGUAAUUCCGGUGAAGAUGCCGGAUACCUGCGACAGGACGGAAAGACCCCAUGGAGCUUUACUGUAGCUUGACAUUGGGUCUUGGUACUACAUGUACAGGAUAGGUGCUGUCUCUUAUACACAUCUGACGCUGCCGACGACUCCUUACGUGUAGAUCUC